RNAcentral lists this unclassified non-coding RNA (376 nucleotides) under Hevea brasiliensis (rubber tree). Lineage: Eukaryota; Viridiplantae; Streptophyta; Magnoliopsida; Malpighiales; Euphorbiaceae. The record is from RNAcentral.
UAGAUAUAUAUGUAAGUCUAUUUUGUUUUAUAAGUAAAUAAACAUAUAUAUAUGUUUCAAUAAAAUUUGGUGAAAAUUAAAGUUUAAUAAUAAUAAUAAUAUUAUGUAAUAAUAACUUCAAUUAUCAUUAAAAAAAACCCAUAAAAAAUUAAGGGCAGAAAAGCAAGUUUGUGUUUUUCAAACUAAAUGAUCAAGAGGGAAUUUCUCCACCAAUAAAAAAAUUAGACAUAAUUAUAAAAAAAGUUAAAUAUUUUUUAGUUUUGAUAAUUUAAUCCAAACAUUUAAAUCUUAAAAAAAAGUCAAAUUUCUAAAAGUUAAUUAAAAUUUUAUUUAAUUUUUAUCAAUCUCAAUUUUUAACUUUAUUAAUUUGUUUAUG